GCCGGGUUGGCGGAAUGGUAGACGCGGCGCACUCAAAAUGCGCUGUCCGCGAGGGCGUGCGGGUUCGAGUCCCGCACCCGGCACCA
Molecule: transfer RNA, 86 nt
Filed under: Brachybacterium faecium
Lineage: Bacteria; Bacillati; Actinomycetota; Actinomycetes; Micrococcales; Dermabacteraceae
Also listed under: 1 other name
Description: tRNA-Leu
Rfam family: tRNA
About the family: Transfer RNA (tRNA) molecules are approximately 80 nucleotides in length. Their secondary structure includes four short double-helical elements and three loops (D, anti-codon, and T loops).
Source: RNAcentral